UACGUAGGUCCCGAGCGUUGUCCGGAUUUAUUGGGCGUAAAGCGAGCGCAGGUGGUUUAUUAAGUCUGGUGUAAAAGGCAGUGGCUCAACCAUUGUAUGCAUUGGAAACUGGGAGACUUGAGUGCAGAUGAGGAGAGUGGAACUCCAUGUGUAGCGGUGAAAUGCGUAGAUAUAUGGAAGAACACCAGUGGCGAAAGCGGCUCUCUGGUCUGUAACUGACGCUGAGGUUCGAAAGCGUGGGUAGCAAACAGG
RNAcentral lists this ribosomal RNA (252 nucleotides) under uncultured bacterium. Its description in RNAcentral is "partial 16S ribosomal RNA". It matches the Rfam family "Bacterial small subunit ribosomal RNA", at positions 524 to 776 of the family's 1533-position model. The record is from RNAcentral.